RNAcentral lists this ribosomal RNA (464 nucleotides) under Segatella oris. RNAcentral describes it as "bacterial SSU rRNA". It matches the Rfam family "Bacterial small subunit ribosomal RNA", at positions 28 to 480 of the family's 1533-position model. Lineage: Bacteria; Pseudomonadati; Bacteroidota; Bacteroidia; Bacteroidales; Prevotellaceae. The record is from RNAcentral.
GAUGAACGCUGGCUACAGGCUUAACACAUGCAAGUCGAGGGGAAACGACGGGGAAGCUUGCUUCCCCGGGCGUCGACCGGCGCACGGGUGAGUAACGCGUAUCCAACCUGCCUCUGACUGAGGGAUAACCCGUCGAAAGUCGGCCUAAUACCUCAUGGCAUCGUCUGCGGGCAUCCAACGACGAUUAAAGAUUUCAUCGGUCAGGGAUGGGGAUGCGUCUGAUUAGCUAGUUGGCGGGGUAACGGCCCACCAAGGCUACGAUCAGUAGGGGUUCUGAGAGGAAGGUCCCCCACAUUGGAACUGAGACACGGUCCAAACUCCUACGGGAGGCAGCAGUGAGGAAUAUUGGUCAAUGGGCGAGAGCCUGAACCAGCCAAGUAGCGUGCAGGAUGACGGCCCUAUGGGUUGUAAACUGCUUUUAUGCGGGGAUAAAGUGAGGGACGUGUCCUUCAUUGCAGGUACCG